UACGAAGGGGGGCUAGCGUUGCUCGGAAUUACUGGGCGUAAAGGGCGCGUAGGCGGAUAGUUUAGUCAGAGGUAAAAGCCCAGGGCUCAACCUUGGAACUGCCUUUGAUACUGAGGAUCUUGAGUUCGGGAGAGGUGAGUGGAACUGCGAGUGUAGAGGUGAAAUUCGUAGAUAUUCGCAAGAACACCAGUGGCGAAGGCGGCUCACUGGCCCGAUACUGACGCUGAGGCACGAAAGCGUGGGGAGCAAACAGG
This 254-nucleotide ribosomal RNA is filed under the name uncultured bacterium. Its description in RNAcentral is "partial 16S ribosomal RNA". It matches the Rfam family "Bacterial small subunit ribosomal RNA", at positions 524 to 776 of the family's 1533-position model. The record is from RNAcentral.